Molecule: long non-coding RNA, 256 nt
Organism: Zingiber officinale
Lineage: Eukaryota; Viridiplantae; Streptophyta; Magnoliopsida; Zingiberales; Zingiberaceae
Exons: 3
Source: RefSeq, a predicted model, not a curated record
AGGAGGAGGAGGAGGAUGAUAAUCACAAUGAUGACUUUGAUUUUUGAUGAUGGGGUUGGUGAGGCGAACUAAAGGUCCGAGAAAAAAAGCAAAGGAGAUUUAAGGGGGUGCAAAGCUUUUGUGGCAGACGAAGAUGACUUGAUGUAUUCUUAGUUUAUUUACCUCCUUGGAUGGAUGAUGGACUUAUAUAACAUUAGAUUGUUGAACUUUAUAAUAUUUUCUAGAAGCUUGAACAAGAUAGAUCUUGUAAAAUUUG